CCUACGGGGGGCAGCAGUGGGGAAUCUUGCGCAAUGGGCGAAAGCCUGACGCAGCGACGCCGCGUGGGUGAUGAAGGCCUUCGGGUCGUAAAGCCCUGUCGGGAGGGAAGAAAUCUCAUCAGCCUAAUAUGCCGGUGACUUGACGGUACCUCUUAAGGAAGCACCGGCUAACUCCGUGCCAGCAGCCGCGGUAAUACGGAGGGUGCAAGCGUUGUUCGGAAUCACUGGGCGUAAAGCGCGUGUAGGCGGCCAUUUAAGUCUGGUGUGAAAGCCCUGGGCUCAACUCAGGAAGUGCACUGGAUACUGGGUGGCUGUAGUACCGGAGAGGAGGGUGGAAUUCCUGGUGUAGCGGUGAAAUGCGUAGAUAUCAGGAGGAACACCGGUGGCGAAGGCGUCCCUCUGGCCGGAUACUGACGCUGAGACGCGAAAGCGUGGGGAGCAAACAGGAUUAGAUACCCGUGUANUC
RNAcentral lists this ribosomal RNA (466 nucleotides) under uncultured bacterium. RNAcentral describes it as "bacterial SSU rRNA". It matches the Rfam family "Bacterial small subunit ribosomal RNA", at positions 338 to 795 of the family's 1533-position model. The record is from RNAcentral.